GAUUGGUNAUGGACGAAAGUCUGAACCAGCCAUGCCGCGUGGAGGAUGAAGGUCCUCUGGAUUGUAAACUUCUUUUAUUUGGGACGAAAAAAGAUCAUUCUUGAUCACUUGACGGUACCAGAUGAAUAAGCACCGGCUAACUCCGUGCCAGCAGCCGCGGUAAUACGGAGGGUGCAAGCGUUAUCCGGAUUUACUGGGUUUAAAGGGUGCGCAGGCGGAUAUGUAAGUCAGUGGUGAAAUCUCUAGGCUUAACCUGGAAAUUGCCAUUGAUACUAUAUGUCUUGAAUGCUGUGGAGGUAAGCGGAAUAUGUCAUGUAGCGGUGAAAUGCUUAGAUAUGACAUAGAACACCUAUUGCGAAGGCAGCUUACUACGCAGAUAUUGACGCUCAUGCACGAAAGCGUGGGGAUCAAACAGGAUUAGAUACCCUGGUAGUCCACGCCCUAAACGAUGAUUACUCGACAUACGCGAUACACUGUGUGUGUCUGAGCGAAAGCAUUAAGUAAUCCACCUGGGAAGUACGACCGCAAGGUUGAAACUCAAAAAAAUUGACGGA
This 554-nucleotide ribosomal RNA is filed under the name uncultured bacterium. RNAcentral's name for it is "bacterial SSU rRNA". It matches the Rfam family "Bacterial small subunit ribosomal RNA", at positions 359 to 917 of the family's 1533-position model. The record is from RNAcentral.